This is a long non-coding RNA of Carassius auratus (goldfish), 334 nucleotides long. RefSeq lists it as uncharacterized. Lineage: Eukaryota; Metazoa; Chordata; Actinopteri; Cypriniformes; Cyprinidae. The transcript is spliced from 2 exons. The record is from RefSeq and is a predicted model, not a curated record.
AAAAAAAAAGAAGAAAAAAAAAAAAGAAAAAAAAGACGACGUCAACUUCCCAAGGCUUUUCAGCGUCAAGAAAGAGGAAUUUUAAGGGCAGUGGAUCUACCCCAAUCAUCAUUAACGGGACCCCAGUGGAGACAGUGAGCAGCUUCAAAUACCUUCAAAUGCCCUGCAAAGAGUAGCUGAGCACAUGUCCAGAACAUCUCUCCCUUCUCUGCAAGACAUCCACACCAGGAGAUGUAAAUCUAGGGCUGUUAAGAUCCUUAAAGACCCCACCCACCCUGGAAAUCCACUGUUUCAUCUGCUACAGUCAGACAGACGCUUCUGCAGUCUGAUGGCA